RNAcentral lists this transfer RNA (35 nucleotides) under Neurosymploca sp. 1 (morphotype 'atomarina'). RNAcentral describes it as "partial transfer RNA-Ser". Lineage: Eukaryota; Metazoa; Arthropoda; Insecta; Lepidoptera; Zygaenidae. The record is from RNAcentral. RNAcentral also lists the same sequence under 2 other names.
AAAACUUAAGAAAGAAUAUAAUAUUCUAUUAAUUU